AUGUCCGCUCUCUUGAAUGCUGUACUCAGCAGGAACUACAAGAAAGUUCAAAUUCUACGGAUCCAACCUUUGCAGCUCAUGAUAGUUUCUACUGAUAAGGAAAACUCUAUCAGCUGGUUUUGCCAAGGAGAAGGGACUGAAAAAGAACAAAACUGGGACAGUUCUACCACACCUGAAGUAAGAAGAGGGACAUCCUUUCCUAUUAUUUUCUUCACUAUGCAAGAAAAAAAAAAAAGAAAUGAAGCACCCACAGAGGGCAAUGUCAAGAUAAUAACAGGAUGGCAUACGAGGCUGCCAAGUGCUUGGAAAAGGCAAAGAGACAGGAUACUUCAUCCUAUUGACCUCCAGUGCUGGCUUCUUUCUCCGUGCUUGUAACAUGAGCUGUCUGGAAGCAAAAUGUCUUUGGAGCAGAAAUAAACUCCCAGACCUCAAAGUACA
This 438-nucleotide long non-coding RNA is filed under the name Coturnix japonica (Japanese quail). Its description in RNAcentral is "lncRNA (ENSCJPG00005005435.1)". Lineage: Eukaryota; Metazoa; Chordata; Aves; Galliformes; Phasianidae. The record is from RNAcentral.